AGAACGAACGCUGGCGGCAUGCCUAAUACAUGCAAGUCGAACGAACUCUUCGGAGUUAGUGGCGCACGGGUGCGUAACGCGUGGGAAUCUGCCCCUUGGUUCGGAAUAACAGUUGGAAACGACUGCUAAUACCGGAUGAUGACGAAAGUCCAAAGAUUUAUCGCCAAGGGAUGAGCCCGCGUAGGAUUAGCUAGUUGGUGAGGUAAAGGCUCACCAAGGCAACGAUCCUUAGCUGGUCUGAGAGGAUGAUCAGCCACACUGGGACUGAGACACGGCCCAGACUCC
Molecule: ribosomal RNA, 285 nt
Filed under: uncultured soil bacterium
Lineage: Bacteria
Description: partial 16S ribosomal RNA
Rfam family: Bacterial small subunit ribosomal RNA
Source: RNAcentral